UCCCUGAUGAUCUAGUGGUGAGGAUUCAGCACUCUCACUGCUGUGGCCUGGGUUUGUUUCCCAGUCAGGGAA
Syngnathoides biaculeatus (alligator pipefish) is the source of this 72-nucleotide non-coding RNA. The record is from the annotation of a RefSeq genome assembly. Lineage: Eukaryota; Metazoa; Chordata; Actinopteri; Syngnathiformes; Syngnathidae.